RNAcentral lists this ribosomal RNA (253 nucleotides) under uncultured bacterium. Its description in RNAcentral is "partial 16S ribosomal RNA". It matches the Rfam family "Bacterial small subunit ribosomal RNA", at positions 524 to 776 of the family's 1533-position model. The record is from RNAcentral.
UACGUAGGGGGCAAGCGUUGUCCGGAAUUAUUGGGCGUAAAGCGUGCGCAGGCGGUUUUGUAAGUCUGUCGUGAAAGCCCCGGGCUUAACCUGGGAAUUGCGAUGGAGACUGCAAGGCUUGAAUCUGGCAGAGGGGGGUAGAAUUCCACGUGUAGCAGUGAAAUGCGUAGAGAUGUGGAGGAACACCGAUGGCGAAGGCAGCUCCCUGGGUCAAGAUUGACGCUCAUGCACGAAAGCGUGGGGAGCAAACAGG